This 31-nucleotide non-coding RNA is filed under the name Mus musculus (house mouse). Lineage: Eukaryota; Metazoa; Chordata; Mammalia; Rodentia; Muridae. The record is from RNAcentral. RNAcentral also lists the same sequence under 1 other name.
UGGAUCUUAAAUGUCCCUCAAUGUCACAUGU